CCUACGGGUGGCAGCAGUGAGGAAUCUUUGUCACUGGGCUUACGCCUGAACCAGCCACGUCGCGUGCGGGAAGACUGCCCUAUGGUUUUUAAACCUCUUUUGUCACGGAGCAAUUGGCGCUACGUGUAGCAUUAUCGUGAGUACCUGAAGUACAAGCAUCCGCUAACUCCGUGCCAGCAGCCGCGUUAAUACGGAGGAUGCGAGCGUUAUCCGUAUUUAUUGGGUUUAAAGUGUGCGUAGGCGGAAUGCCAAGUCAGCGGUAAAAUCGCGGGGCUCAAACUCGGUCCGCCGGUGAAACUGGCGUUCUUGAGUGGGCGAGAAGUAUGCGGAAUGCGUGGUGUAGCGGUGAAAUGCAUAGAUAUCACGAAGAACUCCGAUAGCGAAGGCAGCAUACCGGCGCCCAACUGACGCUGAAGCACGAAAGCGUGGGUAUCGAACAGGAUUAGAUACCCGUGUAGUC
Molecule: ribosomal RNA, 460 nt
Filed under: uncultured bacterium
Lineage: Bacteria
Description: partial 16S ribosomal RNA
Rfam family: Bacterial small subunit ribosomal RNA
Source: RNAcentral